RNAcentral lists this ribosomal RNA (497 nucleotides) under uncultured bacterium. Its description in RNAcentral is "partial 16S ribosomal RNA". It matches the Rfam family "Bacterial small subunit ribosomal RNA", at positions 28 to 507 of the family's 1533-position model. The record is from RNAcentral.
GAUGAACGUUGGCGGCGUGCCUAAUACAUGCAAGUCGAGCGAACAGACGAGGAGCUUGCUCCUCUGAUGUUAGCGGCGGACGGGUGAGUAACACGUGGAUAACCUACCUAUAAGACUGGGAUAACUUCGGGAAACCGGAGCUAAUACCGGAUAACAUGUUGAACCGCAUGGUUCAACAGUGAAAGACGGUUUUGCUGUCACUUAUAGAUGGAUCCGCGCCGCAUUAGCUAGUUGGUAAGGUAACGGCUUACCAAGGCAACGAUGCGUAGCCGACCUGAGAGGGUGAUCGGCCACACUGGAACUGAGACACGGUCCAGACUCCUACGGGAGGCAGCAGUAGGGAAUCUUCCGCAAUGGGCGAAAGCCUGACGGAGCAACGCCGCGUGAGUGAAGAAGGUCUUCGGAUCGUAAAACUCUGUUAUUAGGGAAGAACAAAUGUGUAAGUAACUAUGCACGUCUUGACGGUACCUAAUCAGAAAGCCACGGCUAACUACGUG